AGCCUAGCUUUUGCCGGCGAGCAUCUCUAUAUUCGGAAGGUCGAAAGACGAUGGCGCUGAAACUCAUAGCGGACUGCGGGCAGACCCGGGGGCGGUACCCGGCGCCUCCACCCCAGCAGCUCAGGUCUCAUUCCACAAAUGAGGCAAUCUUGCCGCAAGGCGGGAUCAACGGGCUGCUUAGGCGGGGGCGAAAUAGGAUCGAUGGCCGCGAAGAAGGUAUGAAUUGUUCCCGGCAUGAUACCGCCGUUAUCGGGUCAAAACCUAAAUGCAAACGAUAACGUUCGCAUGAACGAAGUGCGCCUCGCGGCGUAACCGUUCGGGGUAGGUCCACCUUGCAACAGAACGGCCAUCGCC
Molecule: transfer-messenger RNA, 354 nt
Filed under: Tardiphaga sp.
Lineage: Bacteria; Pseudomonadati; Pseudomonadota; Alphaproteobacteria; Hyphomicrobiales; Nitrobacteraceae
Description: Alphaproteobacteria transfer-messenger RNA
Rfam family: Alphaproteobacteria transfer-messenger RNA
About the family: Bacterial tmRNA, also known as 10Sa RNA or SsrA, is named for its dual tRNA and mRNA-like properties. Its role is to liberate the mRNA from a stalled ribosome.
Source: Rfam by way of RNAcentral